AGGCAGGCAGGCAGGCGGCGCGCCGGGUACCGCCCACUUCCCUCGCCUCCCUCCUCAGCCCCGCCGCCACCAAGCCGCCUCAGCCCCGCUUCCGCAUGGCUCGGGCCCGUCCCCGUCCCCAAUCUGCGAGGCCUUCCUGAGAGGAUUAGCGAGUAGCGAGGCACAGCGCAGAGUAGUGUAGCGAAGGCGCCCUCUUCCGCCACAGCAGCGCCCCCUGGAGACGCCCCGCCCCGCCCUCGUCCCCUCAGAGGGAAAAAAGGGCCCGCUCGCCCCAGGCCUUCUGUGCUUGGCCCUAGAGUCUCGCUUAUCCAACGUUCUGGGUUAUCCAACGCAGUCUGCCUCCCGCCCGGAUCCACACCUCUUUCCCUAGGCAGCAAGGACUGAAUGUUUUACGGAUUUAAUUUUCGACAAUGUUGUUACUUGGUUCAUACUCCAGCUCCUGUUCGAAAACAUGCCAGUGUAAGUAGAUCAAUAGGUACCGCUCCGGCGGGAAGGUAACGGCGCUCCAUGCAGUCAUGCCAGCCACAUGACCUUGGAGGUGUCUACAGACAAUGCCGGCUCUUCGGCUUAGAAAUGGAGAUGAGCACCAACCCCCAGAGUCAGACAUGACUGGACUUAAUGUCAGGGGAAACCUUUAUCUUACCUACUAUCAGGUAACAACACUUCAUGCAGUCAUGCCGGCCACAUGACCUUGGAGGUGUCUACGGACAGUGCCGUCUCUUCGGCAUAGAAAUGGAGAUGAGCAACAACCCUCAGAAUCGGUUACGGCUAGACUUAAUGUCAUGGGAAAUCUUUUACCAUUACAGUACUUUACUAUCUGGACUACGGUAUCAUAAAAUUUGCGGACUUGCUCAAAUGCUAGUAGAAAAUUAAAUCAGAUUAGUGUAUAUAGAGCCCAGUCUGGAUAAGUUAUACAUCAUUGGUGGUCAAAGCUUCUUGGGAGGGGAGAAAUGAAUUUUCAUUGUGCCAAGACUUUUCCAUAAUGUCAUCAUGAGAAGACAGGAAAGCUUAGAGAAGACAAUGAUGCUGUGGAAAAUAGAAGGAAAAAGGAAGAGCGGUUGACCAAGGGUAAGAUGGAUGGAUGGUAUCCUUGAGUUGACUGGCUUGAUCUUGAAGGAGCUGAGAGUGGCGACCGCUGACAAGGAGCUUUGGCGUGGGCUGGUCCAUGGGGUAACGAAGAGUAGGAAGCAACUGAACAAAUAAACAACAAACAACAUAACUAGUUGUUAUCUUCAACAGAGUAGAGACAAUAACAAUAAAAAAUAGUUCCUCUGCCACUCUGUCAGCUUAUGAUCUGUUGUAAAGUUUUCAGCUGAUGUUUGCAUUCAGGAAUUAUUCAAGUUGGAUCUUUCAUCAGAAAGGAAUGAUGCACAGUUGGAAUACAAUUUUGGAAAGUGAGAUCACCUGGAACAUGUCCAUGAACAGGUUUUCUUUUAUACUUGGAUCUCACAGUAGAUUAAAUUACUUUGAAAUAUACUUGUGCCAAGUUAACAUGAAAGCUUAAACUGGGAUCAUUCUUGAAUAUAAACACUGGAAAGGGUAUAAAAGGCUUGCUAAAUCAUAUAAAGUCUGAGUCUGCAAAGUACAGAGUUCUUAUUAAAGAUCUCCUUAAUUUACACAAAGGAUGAUAGACAGUCCUGCACAUCAGUAGACAGAAGGCCUACUUUGGUCAGAGAUUUGAUAUAACCUACUUUGUUCAUUAUCAGAAUGUGAAUAGGAAAUUCUAAAAACCCCAUCAGUGGUGUGUCAUUCAUUUAAGAAUGGCAUAAGAGCCCAAAAAAAACGCAAUUUAUUUGUUUGAAGGAAAGCAUAAGUAAAGUAAGAUGUUGCCGUUUCUUAUGUGGUUGGCUAUUAGAUUCGUGUGUCUGGCAUAAUAGGCCUAUAAUUAUAAAAGUAAACAAAUACUCAGUGCCAAAUAGGUGUGCAUGCUAAUGCCCAUUAUUUUUCACAUUCAGACCCUUCUGAAGUGCUAAUCGCUUUAUAGGAUGGAUCAGAGCCAAGACAGAACAUGUUGAAAUAGCAAUUAGUAGGUGUAAAUUAAGAUACCCUAAGCUCCUCCCCUCCCCCUUUCUCCAUCUCUUCCCCCAAAUACCACAAGGCACCUGCUCUAACAGGUUGUUGCUUUUCUGUUUUGUAUUCUAAUGGUUUUUUCCUAUCAAAGUCUUUAAUCUAAGUACAGUAUUUGCAUUUAGAAAUUUGAUAUGGAAACUGGAUCCCAAAAUAACAGGUGGAGAAUUCUUCACACAUACAGGCAAGUUUCCCUUUGUGAAGAACAUCUCACAUUUGUUGUCUCCUGACCUCCACAUCUUUCUUUGACUUUGUGAAACCCCGCCUGAUCAUAUUUUUCAAGUAUGGAAGACCAUAAAAGUAUUUACUAAAUGAUGGAGGAAAAUUUGAAAGGUGCUGUUUCUAGAUUCACUUUUAUUUUGUACAAAACUGAUAGCACAAUCUUUUGUAUGGUUUCUUUGGAAAUGUGAUAUAUUUGACUAUAUAUCACUCAAAAUAAAGAGUGGACAAUGUUCUGCCUUCCCAAUGUUGUCUGACUACAAUUCCCAUUAACAGAGCCAGUAUAACCACUGUCGAGAAAUGCUGGGAGUUGCAAUCCAGCAACAUCGUCCCUCUCCUAGAUAUUUAUGUCUAGGGUUGCAGACAUGCAGCAUACCCUAAUUCAAGGAUUAAACCACUGGUAUCCACCAUAACCUAUGACAACUUUACCAAUGAAAGUACCACUCCAUUUACAUUUGUGCCAGAUGAUUUCAUUUGUUAGAACCUGAGGUUUCUGGGUAGGAUAUUUAGACAAGUUCAGCAAUUGUGUACUUAAUCCUUGCUCUUCCUGGGUUAUCAAAUUUCAAAGGCAAGGUAGCCUGGUUGGAUCCUGGAGGCUAUAAAUGCCUCUAUGAGAGAGGCAGAUUUACUGCAGUGGAGGUUAAACAUUUCACAUCUCUUCAUUCUUCUGGUUCACCGGUCAGCCACCAGAUUCCUGGUUACUGUAAUAGAAUUCCCAUCAAGUUCCUAAGUGCAAGAUUUGAUAGCUGGGGAGGAAGAGUUGUAUUGAUCUGACAAUCUCCAACAUUUGAGUGUAUACACCUGGCAACAGGCAACAAUGAAACAGAUAGGGAUGCUGUAGGUGUACCAUUGACCCCACGACUCAACUGUCUCCCUGCCCAGCCUACUGAAGGUAGUGUUACCAGCAGCAUUUCCAUCUUGACUAAAGCCUCAGCCUGAAUCUAGUCAGCCAACAAAAGCUACUGGAUCUGUCCUGUACAGAUAUUGUAAGCCACUUUAGUUUAUCUUUGGGAGAAAUAUGGGAUGUAAAUAAAAUAAAUCAAAUUUAAAGAAUUAAACAGAACUUCCCACAAGCUUGAGAGCCCUCCCCCCAUUCAUCCCAACUGCCACUGCCCUGGCUUUGGACAGAGAGAAGAAGCGGCAAUAUCUGCUGGACUUAAUCCCUUCACCUACUGCAAUUCCCUUCUCCUUGUGUGUUGUUUCUCAUUUAAACUGUAAGCCUAAAGACAGAAUACUAUCACAUUACAAUUUGUAACCCACUCUGAAAACCUUUGUGGCUGAAGAGUGGGAUGUAAUUAUUCCAAAUAAAUAAAAUAAUAAACAUUG
Long non-coding RNA from Anolis carolinensis (green anole), 3612 nucleotides. RefSeq lists it as uncharacterized. The record is from RefSeq and is a predicted model, not a curated record. Lineage: Eukaryota; Metazoa; Chordata; Lepidosauria; Squamata; Anolidae. The transcript is spliced from 2 exons.